GUUGGGAUAGCUCAGUCAAUAGAGCGUGAGACUCUUAAUCUCAGGGUCAUGGGGAUUAGACUCAAUGACUCUUGUGGUCCCUUCCAACU
Non-coding RNA from Podarcis lilfordi (Lilford's wall lizard), 89 nucleotides. NCBI's taxonomy places the organism in Eukaryota, Metazoa, Chordata, Lepidosauria, Squamata, Lacertidae. The record is from the annotation of a GenBank genome assembly.